RNAcentral lists this ribosomal RNA (1033 nucleotides) under marine metagenome. RNAcentral's name for it is "bacterial SSU rRNA". It matches the Rfam family "Bacterial small subunit ribosomal RNA", at positions 133 to 1150 of the family's 1533-position model. The record is from RNAcentral.
UAAGUUCGGGAUAGCUCGGCGAAAGUCGAAUUAAUACCGGAUGUGGUACUAGGCUAGCAUUUUCCUAUUAUUAAAGCUCGGUCAUAGAGCGCUUUUAGAUGGUCUCGCGGUCUAUCAGCUUGUUGGUGAGGUAACGGCUCACCAAGGCUACGACGGAUAACUGAUCUGAGAGGAUGAUCAGUCACACUGGAACUGAGACACGGUCCAGACACCUACGGGUGGCAGCAGUCGAGAAUCAUUCACAAUGGGCGCAAGCCUGAUGGUGCGACGCCGCGUGGGGGAUGAAGGGCUUCGGUCUGUAAACCCCUGUCAUCUGUGAGUAAGGUCUCGUAUAAAAGCUACGAGAAUUGAUAUUAACAGAAGAGGAAGGGACGGCUAACUCUGUGCCAGCAGCCGCGGUAAUACAGAGGUCCCAAGCGUUGUUCGGAUUUACUGGGCGUAAAGAGUGCGUAGGCGGUCAAAAAAGUUUGGUGUGAAAUCUUCGGGCUCAACCCGGAAACUGCACUGAAAACUAUUUAACUAGAGGAUCGGAGAGGAGAUUGGAAUUCUCAGUGUAGCAGUGAAAUGCGUAGAUAUUGAGAGGAACACCAGUUGCGAAAGCGGAUCUCUGGACGAUUCCUGACGCUGAGGCACGAAAGCUGGGGGAGCGAAGAGGAUUAGAUACCCUCGUAGUCCCAGCCGUAAACGGUGCGCACUUGCUGUGGGCGGAUUCGACCCCGUCCGUGGCGAAGCUAACGCGUUAAGUGCGCCGCCUGGGGAGUACGGUCGCAAGAUUAAAACUCAAAGAAAUUGACGGGGGCCUGCACAAGCGGUGGAGUAUGUGGCUUAAUUCGAUGCAACGCGAAGAACCUUACCUGGCCUUGACAUGUAGUGGCCCGGGUGCGAAAUCACCCUUUUCUUCGGAACUGCUACACAGGUGCUGCAUGGCUGUCGUCAGCUCGUGUCGUGAGAUGUUGGGUUAAGUCCCGCAACGAGCGCAACCCCCGUGUUCUGUUGCCACCCAGAUGUAAAUCUGGAGCACUCUGGACAGACU